AAACUCUUGAAUAUCCAAAGAGUGAUCGGGUACUACAACUCGUCCCGGAUGCAACAAAGAUGUCAGUGGGAUGCCAUGCAACUCGGCAAACAGCCGGUCUAUGAAUGAAUGCGAUGCACCGGUAUCAAAUAAUGCUCGUACUCGAAUACCAUAAAGUAAAAUGAUACCUGCGAUCACAUUCUCGGCUGCUGCCGCCUCUUCAGUCUGGGCCGCAUACAUGCACCCACUCGGGGCCUGUCGUGACCCCUCCGCCUGCCGCUGAACUGGCGGUCGCCCAGCCUGGUGAUGCGCAGAAAGUGUCCCCUAGCUGGGACCCGGUAAAGCUGGUGUAGAUGCUGAAGAUGGCGCUGGUGUUGGACCCCUCGGGCAGUCCGAUGGAAAUGGCCCUCCUGGCCACACAAGUAGCACCUGCCCCGACUGCGUGAACACUACCGUGAAAAAUGGGGACCACCGCAGAUCACGCAGCGCGGAGCCUGGCGUCGAUCAGGUCCUCCUCGUUGAGUGGACUGGCCACGUCCUCGCGACUGGCUCCGGUGUCUCGGAUGUCUCGGCGGCCUCCCCAAGUGCGCCUGGCUCGUACCCUCAGCCGCGGGCCUCUUGCCCUUGCCUUUGUCCAAGGCCUCUCGCCGCUCCUGCAGAUCUGCUGCUCCACUCUCCACUAUGAGCGCGCGGUUCACAACCUUCCGGUAGGUUUGGAGGUUGGAAGACUGAACAAACCGAAAGACUGAAGGCCGCAGUCCCCGCUCGAAGAUGCGUGCCUUGUCCUCGUCAUCCCGGACAACAAAGGGCACACAAUGAAGAAGCCGGGAGAACUCUCUCUCAUACUCGGCUACCGUCCUGUCCCC
RNAcentral lists this long non-coding RNA (845 nucleotides) under Ananas comosus (pineapple). Its description in RNAcentral is "long non-coding RNA (ACOM_LNC010235)". Lineage: Eukaryota; Viridiplantae; Streptophyta; Magnoliopsida; Poales; Bromeliaceae. The record is from RNAcentral.